This 1956-nucleotide ribosomal RNA is filed under the name soil metagenome. RNAcentral's name for it is "bacterial LSU rRNA". It matches the Rfam family "Bacterial large subunit ribosomal RNA", at positions 995 to 2925 of the family's 2925-position model. The record is from RNAcentral.
GCGAUAAGGUUCGUGGUCGAAAGGGAAACAGCCCAGACCGCCGGCUAAGGUCCCCAAGGUGUGCUGAGUGGAAAAGGAAGUGUGAUUGCCCAGACAGCCAGGAGGUUGGCUUAGAAGCAGCCAUGCCUUUAAAGAGUGCGUAAUAGCUCACUGGUCGAGUAGUCAUGCGCCGACAAUGUAACGGGGCUAAGCACAGCACCGAAGCCGCGGAUUCAUCCUGUUCUUCGGAACGGGGUGACUGGUAGGGGAGCGUUCCAUGGACCGAUGAAGGUGUACCGGCGAGGUAUGCUGGAGGGGAUGGAAGUGAGAAUGCAGGUAUGAGUAACGAAAAGAGGGGUGAGAUCCCCCUCCGCCGAAAGCCUAAGGUUUCCAGGGUUAAGGUAAUCUUCCCAAGGGUUAGUCGGCCCCUAAGGCGAGGCUGAAAAGCGUAGUCGAUGGGAAACGGGUUAAUAUUCCCGUACCUCUUGUAAUUUCGAAGGAACGACGCAUGAGGCGAUGCCCGGCCGGGCGACGGUUGUCCCGGUCCAAGCGUGCGAGCCGCUGAGAGUGGUAGGAAAAUCCGCCACUUGAGGUGAGCCGUGAAGGCGAGCGGAGCUACGGCGAAGCGAAGCGGGUAGGAGUCAAGGUGCCAAGAAAGAGUUUCUAAGGAUAGGUUACAAGGGACCGUACCGCAAACCGACACAGGUGGGCGAGAAGAGGAUUCUCAGGCGAACGGGAGAACUCGCGUUAAGGAACUCGGCAAAAUGCACACGUAACUUCGGGAGAAGUGUGGCCUGCUGUGGGAGUCAAAUCUUGAAGCAGGUUGCAGAGAAAUGGCCCAAGCGACUGUUUACCAAAAACACAGGUCUCUGCGAACCAGCAAUGGGACGUAUAGGGACUGACACCUGCCCGGUGCCGGAAGGUUAAGAGGAGGAGUUAGCGUCGCAAGAUGCGAAGCCCCGAAUUGAAGCCCCGGUAAACGGCGGCCGUAACUAUAACGGUCCUAAGGUAGCGAAAUUCCUUGUCGGGUAAGUUCCGACCCGCACGAAUGGUGUAACGACUUGGGCGCUGUCUCAACGCGAGACCCGGUGAAAUUGAAGUAUCGGUGAAGAUGCCGAUUACCUGUGGUUAGACGGAAAGACCCCGUGAACCUUUACUGUAACUUGGCAUUGAACGCUGUCUUGCAAUGUGUAGGAUAGGUGGGAGACUGAGAAGCAUGGUCGGCAGGCUGUGUGGAGUCAUUGGUGAAAUACCACUCUUUGUAGGUUAGCGUUCUAACGCGCUCCGUGAAGCCGGAGUGCGGACCAUGUCAGGCGGGCGGUUUGACUGGGGCGGUCGCCUCCAAAAGAGUAACGGAGGUGCGCGAAGGUCACCUUACACUGGUUGGAAAUCAGUGGAUAAGUGUAAAGGCACAAGGUGGCUUGACUGCGAGAGCUACAACUCAAGCAGGUACGAAAGUAGGUCUUAGUGAUCUGGCGGUAGCGAGUGGAAGCGCCGUCACUUAACGGACAAAAGGUACUCCGGGGAUAACAGGCUUAUCCUGCCCAAGAGUUCAUAUCGACGGCAGGGUUUGGCACCUCGAUGUCGGCUCAUCGCAUCCUGGGGCUGGAGCAGGUCCCAAGGGUUUGGCUGUUCGCCAAUUAAAGCGGUACGUGAGCUGGGUUCAGAACGUCGCGAGACAGUUCGGUCCCUAUCUGCCACAGGCGUUGGAUGUUUGAGAGGAGCUGCUCUUAGUACGAGAGGACCGGAGCGGACGAACCUCUGGUGUACCAGUUAUCGUGCCAACGGUAAGUGCUGGGUAGCCAAGUUCGGACGGGAUAACCGCUGAAAGCAUCUAAGUGGGAAGCCCCCCUCGAGAUGAGACAUCCCUGGCCCAAAAGGGCCCUGAAGGUACCAGAGAGAAGAUCUGGUCGAUAGGCUGGUGGCGUAGGUGCAGUAAUGUAUUGAGCCAACCAGUACUAAUCAACCGUGCGGCUU